This is a long non-coding RNA of Megalobrama amblycephala (Wuchang bream), 762 nucleotides long. RefSeq lists it as uncharacterized. The record is from RefSeq and is a predicted model, not a curated record. The transcript has 3 exons. NCBI's taxonomy places the organism in Eukaryota, Metazoa, Chordata, Actinopteri, Cypriniformes, Xenocyprididae.
CGAAGACAAACGAAGGUCUUACGGGUAUGGGACGACAUGAGGGCCCAAUUCUGGCCAGGUGGGGGAUAAAAACGCCUAUGGCAAUCUCUUCGCUCCAAGGUCAAUUUGGAAUUCUGCUCAGGCCGGUUGCAUGCAGGUUGCAUGGAGGCUGUUGCCGUGGGAGCUUUAGAACAAUCCGUAGCAACGGCAUCCAUCAAGACCGUACCAGGGAAAAGCCAUGACCGACAGCAUCUUGAAAAAGUUGAAAAAGUCAAACAGGGAUUUGAGAUGGCAUUCAGAAAGAUAAAUAAUAAAAUUAAAUGUCCAGGUUUAAAAAAAAAAUCAAGAAUCCUUUGUUUAUGACCUGCUUCACAUUGAAAUGAGUCAUAAUCAGUGCAAAUCUGAUUGACCCUAUGACCGGAUUUACAGUAAAUGCCAAUGGAGGGAUCAUUAAAUCAUUAUUACAGUUCUACUAAUGAGAUUUUUAAUUAGUUAAAAACAUCAAUGUGAACAUGAUGGGAUAUUUGUGUAUGCACACAUAAGCAUGAGAAUUUUUGAUAAUCUCAAAACGAACACCAUCUGCCAACAUUAUGUCUCUUUGAAAUGAUAGAGAAACAUCAUCGUUAUAAUUUUACCUGUUUAAAUAUUACGUUCAUCCAACAAUCAAAGUCUUUUUCUUUUUUGCACAAAUAAAUACAUAACAGGUUGCCAAUAUGCUUCUGAAAACUACUGGAUUUCUAAAGCGCUUUAUUCUUUUAAAGCCAUUGUAGAGAUGAAUAAAGU